This is a long non-coding RNA of Ornithodoros turicata, 166 nucleotides long. RefSeq lists it as uncharacterized. NCBI's taxonomy places the organism in Eukaryota, Metazoa, Arthropoda, Arachnida, Ixodida, Argasidae. The transcript has 3 exons. The record is from RefSeq and is a predicted model, not a curated record.
AAAAGGUGUGAGGCGAAUCCAGUCAGCACAAGCAGGGCCUUCCUGUCACACCGAGAGAGUUGAGCACCUCCAGGGGACAGACAGUGAUAGCUAUCAUCACACCGUGCCAUCCACUCCACAUCCUUCAGGUUUUGAGAAGAACGUACUACGGUCCCUCAGAAUGAUC